GAAGGAAUCGAUGGAAUUGGGCGGCAAAUUAUGGUACAAUAUCAUUGCCGCUUUCGAUAAAAUUUCGAACUUUUCCAAUAGAACAGAUUCAUUCUCAUCGUCAUCUAAGUUAUUCCCCUUUAUUCCGCAUGUAUAAGAAGUGACAUGUUCAUUAGUGUCGGUGGUUCCGUUUUAUUUGGGAAUUUUUGGCAUGCAAUUUUUUGGGGGAUGGGCUUCGGAGCCGCACUUGGAGGAAAGUCUUCUGCACGGACUUCUUCGAAUCCAACCCCUUUAGAAUCUGGGGUGCCCCCGGUAUUUGGUUAGCCCGGGAGUUGAACGUUUCUAUCUUUUUGUCAUUAGCCUCAAUUUUCUAUUCACCUGAUUCGAUCUGUUUAGUGAGAUCCUCGAGCAUCUUCAUAAUGGCGGGGUUAGUCCCCGAUUCAUUGGCGUUUGAUUUCUCAGAUACAGGUUCGGCUCUGUGAAUAACUUUUUCUGAAGUUUCG
RNAcentral lists this long non-coding RNA (482 nucleotides) under Nicotiana benthamiana. RNAcentral describes it as "long non-coding RNA (NBEN_LNC008547)". The record is from RNAcentral. Lineage: Eukaryota; Viridiplantae; Streptophyta; Magnoliopsida; Solanales; Solanaceae.